Molecule: non-coding RNA, 271 nt
Filed under: Clostridium kluyveri
Lineage: Bacteria; Bacillati; Bacillota; Clostridia; Eubacteriales; Clostridiaceae
Description: T-box sequence
Rfam family: T-box leader
About the family: Uncharged tRNA acts as the effector for transcription antitermination of genes in the T-box leader family. T-boxes are found upstream of many aminoacyl-tRNA synthetase genes and some amino acid biosynthetic genes usually in Gram-positive bacteria.
Source: RNAcentral
AUAAUUGCGAUGAUGAGAAGAGUAAAUUACACAAAACUACAAGAGAGAAUUCCCCUUGGGUGUAAGGGAGUUUUGGUGGGAGGUAAUUGAAGUGCAUCUUUGAGCACUGAGUUGAAUCUUAGUAGAUUUCAGCGUGUACGUACGUUAAAACGUUGAGGUAUGAUUGUACCAAUAAAGAGUUUUCACAUGUAAACUUGUAUUUAUAUAGUUUUUAUAAAGUUUAUAUGGGAUAAACAGAGUGGAACCGCGGAAGUAACCUUCUGCCUCUGUA